This is a long non-coding RNA of Mastomys coucha (southern multimammate mouse), 949 nucleotides long. RefSeq lists it as uncharacterized. The transcript has 4 exons. The record is from RefSeq and is a predicted model, not a curated record. NCBI's taxonomy places the organism in Eukaryota, Metazoa, Chordata, Mammalia, Rodentia, Muridae.
UCUAGGACUCAUGGAGUCAACCAUCUGUGUCUGGGAGCAUGUCUCUACUGUUCUGUCCCUUGUGGAAUCUUUCACUGGGUCUCUGGAAAUUAAGAUUCUCUCAAGCAAAACACAGACUGUUUUUCAGGGCCCAACACAUAGAUGAAUUUUUAUGAAGAGACAGUGGCACACAAAGAAGCUGCCCUUAUAUGGAGCCAUCAUUCUUGCCACCAUCCUGCUCUAUGAGCUCAUUUAACCUCACAAUGCCAUCAAAUGCAGUCUCAUGAAGACUCAUGCAUCAAGGUCUGCACUUGUCAGGAAACACAGGUCAGGUCAUGCCUCUGUGGCAGCUGGACAUCUCUUAGCACUUGAGGUGAGUCUGAGACUGACCUGAGGACCCUAAGAGGGCCUGUUUUGGAACAUAUUCCCAUACAUCCUUUUGGAAAGACCCAUAAGGCAUGCAAAUGCCCAAGAAUGCCAGAAGAGAGAGUAUUGUAAACCCUGGAAUCUGAGUUACAAAUGGCUGUGACCUACCAUGUGGGUUGGGAUUCAAUCCGUGUACACUGGAAGAGUAGUCAAUGUUCUUUAAAAGAAAGCCAAGAUCAUUAACUGUCACUUGAUCUGAUCAAAAUGCAGAGAAAGAGUCUUUGUGGAAUGCCCAGCCAUAAAUGGGACACCCCUCCCCAUGUCUCAGGGAAUACUGAUGAGGAAGUGGCAGAAUUACUGUAAAUGUUGUAGAUCAGAUGGCAGAAUCACAGACUGGGUCUGCAGGUGAAAGUGUUCACCACUUUUAACAACAGAACAUUAACUCAGUGCCCUGUCAUCCUCAUUUUGAUAAAAUACACGCAUCAAUUGAGAUAAUGGAACAAUACAGUUCUCAACCUAUCUUCUAAUCUUUACAAACCAGGAGAUAAAAGAUCCAAAAAUGUUCUCAUGUAAGCCAUAUCAAGAAUAAAAUAAAAUAAGAUUA